Molecule: ribosomal RNA, 617 nt
Filed under: uncultured bacterium
Lineage: Bacteria
Description: bacterial SSU rRNA
Rfam family: Bacterial small subunit ribosomal RNA
Source: RNAcentral
CCUACGGGAGGCAGCAGUGGGGAAUUUUGGACAAUGGGCGCAAGCCUGAUCCAGCAAUGCCGCGUGAGUGAAGAAGGCCUUCGGGUUGUAAAGCUCUUUUGUCAGGGAAGAAACGGCAGUUUCUAAUACAGAUUGCUAAUGACGGUACCUGAAGAAUAAGCACCGGCUAACUACGUGCCAGCAGCCGCGGUAAUACGUAGGGUGCAAGCGUUAAUCGGAAUUACUGGGCGUAAAGCGUGCGCAGGCGGUUUUGUAAGUUUGUCGUGAAAUCCCCGGGCUCAACCUGGGAAUGGCGAUGAAGACUGCAAGGCUAGAAUCUGGCAGAGGGGGGUAGAAUUCCACGUGUAGCAGUGAAAUGCGUAGAGAUGUGGAGGAACACCGAUGGCGAAGGCAGCCCCCUGGGUCAAGAUUGACGCUCAUGCACGAAAGCGUGGGGAGCAAACAGGAUUAGAUACCCUGGUAGUCCACGCCCUAAACGAUGUCUACUAGUUGUCGGGUUUUAAUUAACUUGGUAACGCAGCUAACGCGUGAAGUAGACCGCCUGGGGAUACGGUCGCAAGNUUAAAACUCAAAGGAAUUGACGGCUGAGACGNGACGAGACGACGACGAGGAGGAGG